GCUGUGGAACUCCUACGGGAGGCAGCAGUGGGGAAUAUUGGACAAUGGGCGAAAGCCUGAUCCAGCCAUGCCGCGUGAGUGAUGAAGGCCCUAGGGUUGUAAAGCUCUUUCACCGGUGAAGAUAAUGACGGUAACCGGAGAGGAAGCCCCGGCUAACUUCGUGCCAGCAGCCGCGGUAAUACGAAGGGGGCUAGCGUUGUUCGGAAUUACUGGGCGUAAAGCGCACGUAGGCGGAUUGUUAAGUGAGGGGUGAAAUCCCAGGGCUCAACCCUGGAACUGCCUCUCAUACUGGCAAUCUCGAGUUCGGGAGAGGUAAGUGGAAUUCCGAGUGUAGAGGUGAAAUUCGUAGAUAUUCGGAGGAACACCAGUGGCGAAGGCGACUUACUGGCUCGAUACUGACGCUGAGGUGCGAAAGCGUGGGGAGCAAACAGGAUUAGAAACCCUUGUAGUCCUACCACGU
RNAcentral lists this ribosomal RNA (460 nucleotides) under uncultured bacterium. Its description in RNAcentral is "bacterial SSU rRNA". It matches the Rfam family "Bacterial small subunit ribosomal RNA", at positions 327 to 800 of the family's 1533-position model. The record is from RNAcentral.